CGCUGGCGGCACGCUUAACACAUGCAAGUCGAACGGGAUCUUCGGAUCUAGUGGCAGACGGGUGAGUAACGCGUGGGAACCUGCCCAGUAGUAGAGAAUAACCUGAGGAAACUUAAGCUAAUACUUUAUACACCCUUCGGGGAAAAGCUUUAUGCGCUAUUGGAUGGGCCCGCGUUAGAUUAGUUUGUUGGUGAGGUAAUGGCUCACCAAGACUACGAUCUAUAGCUGGUCUGAGAGGAUGAUCAGCCACACUGGGACUGAGACACGGCC
RNAcentral lists this ribosomal RNA (270 nucleotides) under uncultured Alphaproteobacteria bacterium. Its description in RNAcentral is "partial 16S ribosomal RNA". It matches the Rfam family "Bacterial small subunit ribosomal RNA", at positions 34 to 331 of the family's 1533-position model. The record is from RNAcentral. Lineage: Bacteria; Pseudomonadati; Pseudomonadota; Alphaproteobacteria.